CAGCCGCCGCGGUAAUACCGGCGGCCCGAGUGGCGGUCACUAUUAUUGGGCUUAAAGCGUCCGUAGCCGGGUUGGGAAGUCCUCCGGGAAAUCUGGCCGCUUAACGGUCAGAAUGCCGGAGGAUACUCCCAGCCUAGGGAGCGGGCGAGGCCGAGGGGAUUCCCGGAGUAGGGGGGAAAUCCUAUAAUCCCGGGAGGACCACCUGUGGCGAAGGCGCUCGGCUGGAACGCGUCCGACGGGGAGGGACGAAGGCCAGGGGAGCAAACCGGAUUAGAUACCCGGGUAGUCCUGGCUGUAAACGAUGCGGACUUUGUGUCGGACAAGCUAUGAGCUUGUCCGGUGCCGGAGGGAAACCGUUAAGUCCGCCGCCUGGGGAGUACGGCCGCAAGGCUGAAACUUAAAGGAAUUGGCGGG
RNAcentral lists this ribosomal RNA (414 nucleotides) under uncultured microorganism. RNAcentral's name for it is "bacterial SSU rRNA". It matches the Rfam family "Archaeal small subunit ribosomal RNA", at positions 459 to 872 of the family's 1478-position model. The record is from RNAcentral.